UACGGAAGGCAGCAGUGGGGAAUAUUGCACAAUGGGCGCAAGCCUGAUGCAGCCAUGCCGCGUGUAUGAAGAAGGCCUUCGGGUUGUAAAGUACUUUCAGUCGUGAGGAAGGUGUUAAGGUUAAUAACCUUAGCAAUUGACGUUAGCGACAGAAGAAGCACCGGCUAACUCCGUGCCAGCAGCCGCGGUAAUACGGAGGGUGCGAGCGUUAAUCGGAAUUACUGGGCGUAAAGGGCACGCAGGCGGUUAAUUAAGUUGGAUGUGAAAUCCCCGGGCUUAACCUGGGAAUGGCAUUCAAGACUGGUUAGCUAGAGUCUUGUAGAGGGGGUAGAAUUCCGAUGUGUAGCGGUGAAAUGCGUAGAGAUGUGGAGGAAUACCGGUGGCGAAGGCGGCCCCUGGACAAAGGCUGACGCUCAUGUGCGAAAGCGUGGGGAGCGAAAC
Molecule: ribosomal RNA, 441 nt
Filed under: uncultured bacterium
Lineage: Bacteria
Description: bacterial SSU rRNA
Rfam family: Bacterial small subunit ribosomal RNA
Source: RNAcentral